Molecule: ribosomal RNA, 433 nt
Filed under: uncultured bacterium
Lineage: Bacteria
Description: partial 16S ribosomal RNA
Rfam family: Bacterial small subunit ribosomal RNA
Source: RNAcentral
AACGAACGCUGGCGGCAUGCCUAACACAUGCAAGUCGAACGAGACCUUCGGGUCUAGUGGCGCACGGGUGCGUAACGCGUGGGAACCUGCCCUUAGGUUCGGAAUAACUCCCCGAAAGGGGUGCUAAUACCGGCUAAUGUCUUCGGACCAAAGAUUUAUCGCCUUUGGAUGGGCCCGCGUUGGAUUAGCUAGUUGGUAGGGUAAAAGCCUACCAAGGCGACGAUCCAUAGCUGGUCUGAGAGGAUGAUCAGCCACACUGGGACUGAGACACGGCCCAGACUCCUACGGGAGGGAGCAGUGGGGAAUAUUGGACAAUGGGCGAAAGCCUGAUCCAGCAAUGCCGCGUGAGUGAUGAAGGCCUUAGGGUUGUAAAGCUCUUUUACCCGGGAUGAUAAUGACAGUACCGGGAGAAUAAGCUCCGGCUAACUCCGUG